UAAAGCAUAAUUAAAACCAUAAUAUAAGACUUUUAAUCUAACAUUGUAGAUCCUUACUACUGCUUUAA
RNAcentral lists this transfer RNA (68 nucleotides) under Vazella pourtalesii. Its description in RNAcentral is "tRNA-Lys". Lineage: Eukaryota; Metazoa; Porifera; Hexactinellida; Lyssacinosida; Rossellidae. The record is from RNAcentral.